Molecule: ribosomal RNA, 460 nt
Filed under: uncultured bacterium
Lineage: Bacteria
Description: partial 16S ribosomal RNA
Rfam family: Bacterial small subunit ribosomal RNA
Source: RNAcentral
CCUACGGGUGGCAGCAGUGAGGAAUAUUGGUCAAUGGACGCAAGUCUGAACCAGCCAUGCCGCGUGCAGGAUGACGGCUCUAUGAGUUGUAAACUGCUUUUGUACGAGGGUAAACCCCGAUACGUGUAUCGGGAUGAAAGUAUCGUACGAAUAAGGAUCGGCUAACUCCGUGCCAGCAGCCGCGGUAAUACGGAGGAUCCGAGCGUUAUCCGGAUUUAUUGGGUUUAAAGGGUGCGUAGGCGGUUUGGUAAGUUAGGGGUGAAAUGUCGGGGCUCAACCCCGAAACUGCCUUUAAAACUGGCGGACUAGAGAAUAGAUGCGGUAGGCGGAAUGUAUGAUGUAGCGGUGAAAUGCUUAGAUAUGACUCAGAACACCGAUUGCGAAGGCAGCUUACCAGACUAUAACUGACGCUGAGGCACGAGAGCGUGGGUAGCAAACAGGAUUAGAUACCCUGGUAGUC